CGUGUGCAGCGGUGCCCUUCCAUCCUUCUGUUAACGUUUCUGAUAUUCAUUUAUUGGUCUCGGGCUCAGAUAUUUUACCUUGAGAAAAUUAGAGUGUUCCAGGCAGGCUUGCGCCGGAAUACAUUAGCAUGGAAUAAUAGAAUAGGACUUUAGUCUCCUUUGUUGGUUUGAGGGACUGAAGUAAUGAUUAAUAGGGAUAGUUGGGGGCAUUAGUAUUUAAUUGUCAGAGGUGAAAUUCUCGGAUUUGUUAAAGACUAACUUAUGCGAAAGCAUUUGCCAAGGAUGUUUUCAUUAAUCAAGAACGAAAGUUAGGGGAUCAAAGACGAUCAGAUACCGUCGUAGUCUUAACCAUAAACUUUGCCGACCAGAGAUCAGGAGACGUUACAUGGAUGACUCCCCUGGCAUCUUGCGAGAAAUCACAAGUCUUUGGGUUCUGGGGGGAGUAUGGUCGCAAGGCUGAAACUUAAAGGAAUUGACGGAAGGGCACCACCAGGAGUGGAGCCUGCGGCUUAAUUUGACUCAACACGGGGAAACUCACCAGGUCCAGACACAGUGAGGAUUGACAGAUUGAUAGCUCUUUCUUGAUUCUGUGGGUGGUGGUGCAUGGCCGUUCUUAGUUGGUGGAGUGAUUUGUCUGCUUAAUUGCGAUAACGAACGAGACCUUAACCUGCUAAAUAGCCCUUAUUGCUUCGGCAGUAAGCUGGCUUCUUAGAGGGACUAUCG
Molecule: ribosomal RNA, 723 nt
Filed under: uncultured eukaryote
Lineage: Eukaryota
Description: bacterial SSU rRNA
Rfam family: Eukaryotic small subunit ribosomal RNA
Source: RNAcentral